RNAcentral lists this ribosomal RNA (436 nucleotides) under uncultured bacterium. RNAcentral describes it as "bacterial SSU rRNA". It matches the Rfam family "Bacterial small subunit ribosomal RNA", at positions 612 to 1043 of the family's 1533-position model. The record is from RNAcentral.
ACUCCGAAACUGCAUUCGAUACUGCCGUGCUUGAGGACUGGAGAGGAGACUGGAAUUUACGGUGUAGCGGUGAAAUGCGUAGAUAUCGUAAGGAAGACCAGUGGCGAAGGCGGGUCUCUGGACAGUUCCUGACGCUGAGGCACGAAGGUCAGGGGAGCAAACGGGAUUAGAUACCCCGGUAGUCCUGACAGUAAACGGUGCACGUUUGGUGUGGGAGGAUUCGACCCCUUCUGCGCCGGGGCUAACGCGUUAAACGUGCCGCCUGGGGAGUACGGUCGCAAGAUUAAAACUCAAAGAAAUUGACGGGGGCCCGCACAAGCGGUGGAGUAUGUGGCUCAAUUCGAUGCAACGCGAAGAACCUUACCAGGCCUUGACAUGCAUUGCUAAGUUGGUGAAAGCCAGCGACUGGAGCAAUCCAGACCUUGCACAGGUGCUG